GGAACUCGCGCUUGAGCGCGAGUGCGGAGGGCGUCUAGGGCUGAGGCGAGGAGGCGCGGGCAGAGCCUGGGAAGCGGGGCGGAACCUGGAGGGUCAUUUCACUUCCAAGGAGCCGUGGUGCUAACUUUGCUUCUUUAAGUCAGACUGCAUUUGUUACCUCCUACAUCCACAGCAUUCUACCUGGAUAAGAUCAAUAAAACCUAACACACAGGAAGAUCCAUCAGCAGGCAGUGGAUAUAGCAUCUGACCAAUGUACCCUGCACUCCAGAAAGAGCUAAUAGACAGGAGAAGCUGGUCACAUCCUGAGGUGUCUGGAGACAUGGCUCAGAGGUUGCCUUGCUCGUGGUGUUUCAUCACAGCAACAGUAAAGUAACUAAGACAACCAGAUCCCACGAAGCAGUAUUUGCUUGGUCCUCUCAUGCUUCCCCUCAGCUGGCCUCACAUCGGGACUUCAGAGUCUUCUGAGGAGUCAUCUGCAAACGUAAGUUCAUCUGGUGAUGGGCUCCCCAAGGGUAGCGUACUGCACUGAGACCAGAGGAUCCCAUUUUUGGUGCGUUUGUCCUCUGGUAAGACAUCGUCCUUUCCAGGUGUGACUGUAGCAAAAGGAGUGGAGGCCACAUCCUCCCAUUCUUCAUUGCCCCCAUUCAAGAUGUAUCUUUCCUCGUGAAGGUUGUUCUCAUGAACUUCUGCCGUGACCACGCUGAUGGCAGCGCUGGGGGAGCAAGAGGCAAUGAUGGAGUCAGGAUCAAUGUUCAUGUCUAGCCCUGCGAGCGAGGGCCCGUCGGCCAGGCCCUCACAGCUCUCUAGCAGCUGGGUGUUGAUGUAGAUGAUGGAUUCCUUGUCCUGUGCGUCAGGCAAACUCUCAGAGAGCUUUUCCAGCUGCAGCCUCAACACUGAGAAGGUGGGUCGGUCCAAGGGAUCGGCACUCCAGCACGAGUACAUGAUGUCAUACCUGGUGACGACAGACACGUGAGUGUUACCUGGCACAGACCCAGAUCCCUCAGUGCCACCACCCCUUCCUCCUCACCUAGUCUUCAACUUCAUUCUAUUUUAAUCAGCAUUUGUUCCACCUUUUUAUGGAAAUGAAUGGGUUUUGGUGUGUGUGGGGAAAAAAUGGUAUUCAACUUUUUAAAUGUUUCGUGUGU
Peromyscus eremicus (cactus mouse) is the source of this 1145-nucleotide long non-coding RNA. RefSeq lists it as uncharacterized. The transcript is spliced from 3 exons. The record is from RefSeq and is a predicted model, not a curated record. Lineage: Eukaryota; Metazoa; Chordata; Mammalia; Rodentia; Cricetidae.